CAGUCUGCGUAAUUGAAGCUGAGCAAAGAGAGAUAUUCGUGGUUGUUGAUCAAGUGUUGUGCCAAAUCAAAACCAAUUUCCGACACCCUACAUCAACAAUAUUGUGCUUCAUCAGCGGCAUCAGCAACAUUUGAAAACCAACAAAGUGUCGAACAAAGUGGAGUGAAAGAGUGGAGUUAUUUGUGAAGCCAUCAUAAAUAGCACUUAAAUGACUAAUA
Molecule: long non-coding RNA, 218 nt
Organism: Rhagoletis pomonella (apple maggot)
Lineage: Eukaryota; Metazoa; Arthropoda; Insecta; Diptera; Tephritidae
Exons: 3
Source: RefSeq, a predicted model, not a curated record